This 216-nucleotide ribosomal RNA is filed under the name uncultured bacterium. RNAcentral's name for it is "partial 16S ribosomal RNA". It matches the Rfam family "Bacterial small subunit ribosomal RNA", at positions 1285 to 1500 of the family's 1533-position model. The record is from RNAcentral.
GUCUCAGUUCGGAUUGAAGGCUGAAAUUCGCCUUCAUGAAGCCGGAAUUGCUAGUAAUGGCAGGUCAGCAUACUGCCGUGAAUACGUUCCCGGGCCUUGUACACACCGCCCGUCACACCAUGAGAGUUGGGAAUACCCGAAAGCCUGUGAGCUAACUUUUAGAGGCAGCAGUCGAAGGUAGAAUCAAUGAUUGGGGUGAAGUCGUAACAAGGUAGC